RNAcentral lists this transfer RNA (35 nucleotides) under Citrus sinensis (sweet orange). Its description in RNAcentral is "tRNA-Lys". Lineage: Eukaryota; Viridiplantae; Streptophyta; Magnoliopsida; Sapindales; Rutaceae. RNAcentral also lists the same sequence under 736 other names. The record is from RNAcentral.
CCGACUAGUUCCGGGUUCGAGUCCCGGGCAACCCA